Gopherus flavomarginatus (Mexican gopher tortoise) is the source of this 231-nucleotide long non-coding RNA. RefSeq lists it as uncharacterized. The transcript has 4 exons. NCBI's taxonomy places the organism in Eukaryota, Metazoa, Chordata, Testudines, Testudinidae. The record is from RefSeq and is a predicted model, not a curated record.
ACCCAGGUAUCCAACUCCGCAUCCAGGGAACCCAGGCAUCCGGGCCCCCCAGCUCAGAACCCAGGUAUCCAACUCCGCAUCCAGGGAACCCAGGCAUCCGGGCCCCCCAGCUCAGAACCCAGGUAUCCAACUCCGCAUCCAGGGAACCCAGGCAUCCGGGCCCCCCAGCUCAGAACCCAGGUAUCCAACUCCGCAUCCAGGGAACCCAGGCAUCCGGGCCCCCCAGCUCAG